GCGUGUGUGUGUGCGCGCGCGCUUAGAGUAAAGCAGCUCAUCAUCUCAGAGGGACUGCAGAGACACACACACACACAGGCGGAGCAGUAGAAUAAUCGAUGCCGCAAUAAAGCGCAGUUUCUCCGGCGAGAGCUCGAGUAGGUGACGCGCAGUGAAGAUGGGGAACCGCGGGAUGGAGGACCUGAUUCCGCUGGUCAACCGCAUGCAGGAUGCCUUCUCCGCCAUCGGCCAGAACGCAAACCUGGACCUGCCGCAGAUCGCGGUGGUGGGCGGACAGAGCGCCGGGAAAAGCUCCGUGCUCGAGAACUUCGUGGGCAAGGAUUUCCUCCCGCGUGGAUCCGGCAUCGUCACCCGUCGUCCUCUUGUCCUGCAGCUUAUCAACUGUCCCACAGAAUAUGCUGAAUUUCUUCACUGUAAGGGGAAAAAGUUCACGGAUUUCGAUGAGGUUCGUCAGGAGAUCGAGGCGGAGACGGAUCGAGUCACGGGCCAGAAUAAAGGCAUCUCUCCUGUCCCCAUUAACCUGCGCGUCUACUCUCCAAACGUGUUGAACCUGACGCUGGUGGAUCUGCCGGGAAUGACUAAAGUGCCGGUGGGAGAUCAGCCUGCAGACAUCGAGCACCAGAUUAAAGACAUGCUGAUGCAGUUUGUGACUAAAGAGAACUGCCUGCUGCUGGCCGUGUCGCCCGCUAACUCUGAUCUCGCUAACUCUGAUGCCCUGAAGAUCGCCAAAGAAGUCGACCCGCAGGGUCUGAGGACCAUCGGUGUCAUCACUAAACUGGAUCUGAUGGAUGAAGGAACGGAUGCUCGCGAUAUCCUGGAGAACAAGCUGCUGCCGCUGCGGAGAGGCUACAUUGGUGUGGUGAACCGCAGUCAGAAAGACAUUGACGGAAAGAAGGACAUUAACGCUGCGAUGGCGGCCGAGAGGAAGUUUUUUCUGUCUCAUCCCAGUUACAGACACCUGGCCGACCGCAUGGGGACUCCAUACCUGCAGAAGACACUCAACCAGCAACUGACCAAUCAUAUCCGCGACACGCUGCCUGGGCUGCGCGCUAAGCUCCAGAGCCAGCUUCUGUCCAUCGAGAAGGAAGUGGAGGAAUACAAGAACUUCCGUCCAGAUGACCCGUCCAGGAAGACCAAAGCCCUGCUGCAGAUGGUGCAGCAGUUCUCAGUGGACUUUGAGAAGCGUAUCGAGGGUUCAGGAGAUCAGAUAGACACCUAUGAGCUUUCUGGAGGAGCUCGAAUCAACCGCAUCUUCCAUGAGCGAUUCCCCUUCGAGCUGGUGAAGAUGGAGUUUGAUGAGAAGGAGCUGCGUAAAGAGAUCAGCUACGCCAUCAAGAACAUCCACGGCAUCAGAACGGGCCUCUUCACGCCGGACAUGGCCUUUGAGACCAUUGUGAAACGGCAGAUCGGGAAGAUUAAAGAGCCGUGCCAGAAAUGCGUGGACAUGGUCAUUUCUGAGCUAGUCAAUACGGUUAGGCAGUGUACCAAGAAGCUGGCCCAGUAUCCUAUGCUGAGAGAAGAGAUGGAGCGGAUCGUCACACAGCACAUCCGCGACCGCGAGAGCCGCACUAAAAAUCAGGUGCUGCUGUUGAUUGAUAUCGAGCUGGCGUACAUGAACACCAACCAUGAGGACUUCAUCGGAUUUGCCAAUGCUCAACAGAGAAGCAGUCAGAUUAAGAAGAAAGCAGCUGGGAAUCAGGAUGAGAUCAUGGUGAUCAGGAAGGGCUGGCUGACUAUCAAUAACAUUGGCAUCAUGAAGGGCGGAGCUAAAGAGUACUGGUUUGUGCUGACGGCCGAAUCACUGUCCUGGUACAAGGAUGACGAGGAGAAAGAGAAGAAGUACAUGCUGCAGGUGGACAAUCUGAAGUUCAGAGAUGUGGAGAAGGGCUUCAUGUCCAGCAAACACAUCUUUGCCCUCUUCAACACUGAGCAAAGGAACGUGUAUAAGGACUACCGUCAACUGGAGCUGGCCUGUGAGAGUCAGGAAGAGGUGGACGGCUGGAAAGCUUCAUUCCUGCGUGCUGGAGUUUAUCCUGAGCGUGUGGUGGAGAAGGAGAAGAAUGACGCAGGCGAAGAGAACGGUUCCGACGGAUUCAUGCACUCCAUGGACCCUCAGCUGGAGAGGCAGGUGGAGACCAUCCGAAACCUGGUGGACUCCUAUAUGGCCAUCGUCAACAAGACCGUACGAGACCUGAUACCCAAGACCAUCAUGCAUCUGAUGAUCAAUAAUACAAAGGAGUACAUCAACGCGGAGCUGCUGGCUUCACUGUACUCGUGUGGAGAUCAGAACACACUGAUGGAGGAGUCUGCUGAGCAGGCGCAGCGGCGGGACGAGAUGCUCCGCAUGUACCACGCUCUCAAAGAGGCGCUCAACAUCAUUGGGGACAUCAGCACCACCACCAUCUCCACCUCUCUGCCUCCACCCGUGGACGACUCCUGGCUACAGGUGCAGCGCACUGGCUCUGGAGGAAGGUCUCCGGCCACCAGCCCAACCCCUCAAAGACGGGCUCCACCUCCAGGGCCUCCAGCUCGCCCAGGUUCCCGUGGUUCGGCCCCAGGGCCCCCAGCUGCAGGUGGGCCACCUGUUCCCUCCCGCCCCGGAGCCUCUCCGGACCCCUUCGGCGGACCUCCUCCUACGGUCCCAUCCCGUCCUAACCGCGCCCCACCCAGUGUGCCCAGCCGACGACCCCCGGCAUCACCUACGCGACCAUACUGACCCACAGACUCCUCCCGCUUAGACUAUUAGCCCCUCCCACACCCGUGACAGACAACGAGGACAGACACGCCCACCCAGCCAGAGCUCCUCCCCUUCCUUCCUGCUCCUCAUCACUAAUACACAACAUACACACUGAUUCAACAACUCUACAACCCUCUGUCACAAGUUUUACAUUUAUGCUAUUAAUAUUAUUAUAAUUAUUUAGCUUAGGCGUCUCAAACUCAUAUAUUCAAGUGUAUAUAAUAGUCAGAAAUGAACUACUGAUAAUAAUGUAAAGCAUUGUAGGCCAAACUAAAAUUUGAUGAAUGAAAUGAUGCAUUUUAAAUGUUUAUGAACUCAAUCUCUUUGACAGAAGGUUGAUGAGUUUUAGAUGCCUGUUCGUGAUAUUCAACAAUUAAAAUGCCUACUCUUCCUUAAACAAUAAGCUUGAUACACUUCAAAAAAAUGAUCUUAUUGGUAUAUUCAUCUUAAAUCAAGACACAUUUACUAGAGAAGCAAUUUUAUUUGGGCUUGUUUUCUAAAAUUUUUAACAAUAAUUAUAAAGUUUACGCUUGAAUCAAUUAAAAAAAUCAGUCAACAAGGUCAGAAAAAUAACCAUAAUUCAACAGAAAUCACAUUUUUUCUAACCCAAUGCCAUUUUUAUUCAGUUUUAAACCAAAAACUUAUUUAAUUUCAUUAAUAUCUUCAUUACAUUGCAUCUUAAGUAAAUGUACCUUGAUGUGAGAAUGAUUUUCAGAACAAAUUUUUUUUUUGCAGUGUAGCAAAGGUCAAACGAAUGACGGCAGGGUCUGAUGAAUGCAUUCCUGUCCGAUUUCUGUUGCUUUAUUUAUUUUCUAUCAUCUCAAGCUUCUUUUGGUUAUCCGAUGCUUGAUCUUCUGCCCUAUAAGCGAUGCAUUAUCUCUCCAAAGUGUGUGCUGGAGCUUGACGAUAACUGCAUCUUCUGAAUGUGCUGCUGUGUGUCUGUGUUUCUGUACAUUACUAUUGGCUCUGUUUUGUUUUUGUUCUGUAUGUGCGUCGGCCUGCAGUGGUCCCUGAGCUUACGGGCCAGAAGACGACACCAAAUUCCUGAAGGCCAGUCAAACAAAAGCAGCCCUUCUCAGACCCUUCUCUCCACGUGACCCUUAUCUGCUCCUCUUCACUUCUUCUUCUUCUGUUUUCCCCACAUUGAGUAAAAAAAAAAGCCCAACAGAACCAACAUCAACCCAAGCAAAAAGACCAGACGUGAUGAUUCCUGCAUCGUCUGCUGGAGGAGACGACUUUGAGAAAUGUGUUAAAUUUAUCGUGAUAUCAUAACCUUCUAGAAGCUCAUUGUGUUAAAUUCAUGACUUACUCACCUGUUUUAAACCUGUUUUAUCCAUUUACUUUCUAUAUAGAACUGGUACUUUGAAGAAUAUUGGUAACCAAACAGUUUUGGAACCCAUUGACUGACAGUGGAUUUGAAACUGUUUGACUGAGCUGGGUGGAUUACAAAUUACAUGACAAGAUUAACAGUUUAUAUUACCGACUAAUAUUGUUGUGUAACUUGUAACCAGUAAUUUAUUACAGUUCAAAAGCAAUCCAAAAGUAGUCAGAUUACAUUACCAUAAAUGCGUAAUCUAAGAGAUUAUAUUACAGACUAAUAUUGUCAUGUAAUUUGUAAUUAGUAAUUGAUCACAGUUCAGAAGUAAUCUAAAUGUAAUCCAAAAGUAGUCGGAUUACAUUACCAUAAAUGCGUAUUCUAAGAGGUUAAAUUACUGACUAAUAUUGUCAUGUAAUUUGUAAUCAGUAAUUGAUUACAGUACAAAAGUAAUCUAAAAGUAAUCCAAAAGUUGUCAGAUUACAUUAACAAAUGUGUAAUCCAGAGGAUUACAUUACCGACUAAUAUUGUCAUGUAAUUUGUAAUCUGUAAUUGAUUACAGUUCAAAAGUAAUCUAAAAGUAAUCCAAAAGUUGUCAGAUUACAUUACCAUGAAUGUGUAAUCCAGCAGAUUCUAAUACUAAUAUUUUCAUGUAAUUUGUAAUCAGUAAUUGAUCACAGUUUAAAAGUAAUCUAAAUGUAAUCCAAAAGUAGUCAGAUUACAUAAACAAACGUGUAAUCCACAGGAUUAUAUUACCGACUAAUAUUGUCAUGUAAUUUGUAAUCUGUAAUUGAUUACAGUUCAAAAGUAAUCUAAAAGUAAUCCAAAAGUUGUCAGAUUACAUUACCAUGAAUGUGUAAUCCAGCAGAUUAUAAUACUAAUAUUUUCAUGUAAUUUGUAAUUAGUAAUUGAUCACAGUUUAAAAGUAAUCUAAAUGUAAUCCAAAAGUAGUCAGAUUACAUAAACAAAUGUGUAAUCCACAAGAUUAUAUUACCGACUAAUAUUGUCAUGUAAUUUGUAACCAGUAAUUAAUUACAGUUCAAAAGUAAUCUAAAUGUAAUCCAAAAGUAGUCAGAUUACAUUAUCACAAAUGCGUAAUCUAAGAGAUUAUAUUUUUUGGUUACAUUUAGAUCUAGAUUACACAUUUAUGUAAUUUCACUACUAUUUGAUUACAUUUAGAUGUCUCUGCUAAAAAAUAAACAAAGAUUCAAUUUGAAUUCUCUGCGAAUAAAGUAAUAUACAAAUAUUAAAAAAAGAAAAAGAGGAGAAUUAAUGAAUCAUAAAUAACAAUAUGCCGAUGUGUAAAUAACAUGUAAUCAUGUAAUCCAUAAAAGUAACUGUAAUCUGAUUUCAAGUAUUUUAAAAAGUUUACUUUAAGUACAAGUAGUUGAUAUUUGUAAUCAGAUUACAUGUAAUCCAUUACCACCCAGCUCUGCUAUUUGAUUACCAACAUUUUUCAAAAUAUCUUUCUCCAAAGCCAUGUACUCCCACACUCCAAAAAAAAGUCUCAAUCAGUAUAUCAUCUUUUUUUAUUACUGAAAUGUUAAGAUGUUGUGUAGAUUAAAACCAGACAAAUGUGAUAAUAUAAAGGCUUUCAGGUACGCAUGUUCACCCUUCAUAAUCAGCAACCAUUCUUUCAUUUAGUGAAAACUGAAUCUUUAGUGAGGCUGGACUGAAUUAGAGAGUGCAAUAUAACCAUCGGUCAGACGAAUCUACACGCUGACCACACAUUCAUGCCAUUGAAAACAUACUAGUGCAGUUUUAGGGUGAACAGACGUUUGUUUGUGUGUGUUUACAAACCUGUUGAAUUCAUUCAGUUUGAGGAUAUUUUCCCCCACACACAGGCUGUGUUUGGAAUUUAAUACUCGCUUACUGUAUAUACAGUAUAUAUUGUGUACUGCUUACUAUAUUUGCAUGUGAAAGUGCACUGUUCAAUGCUAUGUAAAUGGUAGCGUGCAUGUUUGAGCCAUGCGUUUGUCUGAUCAGGCAAGAUGAUUAAAAAGCUGCACAUUACACGCACAUGCAUAUGCAGAAUAUUUGCAUACUGUAUAUAAUAUAUACUGCAGAAAUAGUAACAGUAGUAUGACAGUCUAAACAUAGCCACAUUUGAUUAAAGGUGCUGCAAGCCAUUUUAGUUGAAACACAUUAUUAAAAUUUUUUGUAAUUAGACAAAAAUAUGACUGGGGUCCAUAAAGAGAUGUUAUAAUGGCAAAAAAA
Molecule: non-coding RNA, 6269 nt
Organism: Danio rerio (zebrafish)
Lineage: Eukaryota; Metazoa; Chordata; Actinopteri; Cypriniformes; Danionidae
Source: RefSeq, a predicted model, not a curated record